Pelobates cultripes (western spadefoot toad) is the source of this 629-nucleotide non-coding RNA. The record is from the annotation of a GenBank genome assembly. Lineage: Eukaryota; Metazoa; Chordata; Amphibia; Anura; Pelobatidae.
ACAGUUUACUGGUUGGUAGAUGGGCCCCCAGGAGUGAUAUCUGUGAGAAUCAGUCACAAUAAUUGCAUACACUUAGUGUCUGUUAUGACAUAUAAUUACAGUAAUUGGCCCGUGCCAAUCAAUCACUAUUGCUGGACUGCCUCACUUGUGACGAAGCCAGAAAUUGCCUGGCACAUAUUGAUCAUGGUGUAUACCAGGUAUAGUGGGUGCCUCUAGCUCUGCAGCAUGGGCUCAGGAAUUGAAAGUAUCUGAUCCAGAAAUCGCCCAAUACAUGCCAUGAUCAAUACGCACUGGGAUGUAAUCCACCAUCAGCGCUCUAUAGUUCAGGUUGUCUGAUUGAUGUGGUAUAUUCCCACAGUAGUCCAAUAUCUUGGGCAGCCUCAGGGUGGCUAUUGCUGGACACCCUCACUAGUGUCGAGUGCUGCAGCAGCAGGAUUUCAAUGCAGUGGUAGAGACCUGUAAUUUUGGGUGAGGUUUAAAAAAAGACUGCAUACUUUGUAUAUCAGCUAUUACGAAGGCAUUAAAGAAAUGCUACCUGUUCUAGUGAAGCCUUUCAAGAUAUAUGUCUCUAAUCACAAAUUCUGUCACACAUGUAAAUGCAAUUAGGAGAGUCCAACAAGGAGAGAAGG